GUACAAGGGGCUAAAUGCGCUUCUGAAAGGAAUGUGCAAGUCUUCAGUGGCACCGAAGGCAACACUGUCAAAUUGCGGGAAAGCCCUA
Molecule: ribosomal RNA, 88 nt
Filed under: Spizellomycetaceae sp.
Lineage: Eukaryota; Fungi; Chytridiomycota; Chytridiomycetes; Spizellomycetales; Spizellomycetaceae
Description: partial small subunit ribosomal RNA
Source: RNAcentral